UUAGAGUUUGAUCCUGGCUCAGGAUGAACGCUAGCGGGAGGCUUAACACAUGCAAGUCGAGGGGUAAGGUUCUCUUCGGAGGACACACGACCGGCGAACGGGUGAGUAACGCGUAUGUAWCCUACCUAUAACACAAGGAUAGCUUCCGGAAACGGAAAUUAAUACUUGAUAAUAUUUAGUUCUGGCCUCAGGAUUAAAUCAAAGCUCAGGUGGUUAUAGAUGGACAUGCGUGACAUUAGGUAGUUGGUAGGGUAAAGGCCUACCAAGCCGACGAUGUCUAGGGGGUCUGAGAGGAUGAUCCCCCACACUGGUACUGAGACACGGACCAGACUCCUACGGGAGGCAGCAGUGAGGAAUAUUGCGCAAUGGACGAAAGUCUGACGCAGCCAUCCCGCGUGCAGGAAUGACGGCCCUAUGGGUUGUAAACUGCUUUUCUGAAGGAAGAAAAUUAGUUACUAGUAAUUAAUUGCCGGUACUUCAGGAAUAAGCAUCGGCUAACUCCGUGCCAGCAGCCGCGGUAAUACGGAGGAUGCAAGCGUUAUCCGGAAUCACUGGGUUUAAAGGGUGCGCAGGCUGAAGAAUAAGUCAGAGGUGAAAUCCUCCCGCUUAACGGGAGAAGGUCCUUUGAUACUGUUUUUCUUGAGUAUAGUUGA
Molecule: ribosomal RNA, 653 nt
Filed under: uncultured bacterium
Lineage: Bacteria
Description: bacterial SSU rRNA
Rfam family: Bacterial small subunit ribosomal RNA
Source: RNAcentral